AGCGUAGACGGAAUGGCAAGUCUGAUGUGAAAGGCCGGGGGCUCAACCCCGGGACUGCAUUGAAAACUGUCAAUCUAGAGUACCGGAGGGGUAAGUGGAAUUCCUAGUGUAGCGGUGAAAUGCGUAGAUAUUAAGAGGAACACCAGUGGCGAAGGCGGCUUACUGGACGGUAACUGACGUUGAGGCUCGAAAGCGUGGGGAGGCAAAACA
RNAcentral lists this ribosomal RNA (210 nucleotides) under uncultured bacterium. Its description in RNAcentral is "partial 16S ribosomal RNA". It matches the Rfam family "Bacterial small subunit ribosomal RNA", at positions 568 to 776 of the family's 1533-position model. The record is from RNAcentral.